ACUGAGAGUCCCGGGAGAAGACUCGGCGGUCGCCACCUCUUCUGUCCAGGCCUCGGCCUUCCUGAGCAUCUCUCCUUCCUCUCCCAGAUCGUCUUCUCCUUCAGUUUCAAAGCCAGUGGCGUCGCGGCCACCCUGCCGGGCUCUCUGUGAGGAUGGUGGGGGUGAAGCCCGUCGGGAGCGACCCGGAUUUCCAGCCAGAGCUGAGCGGCGCGGGCUCCAGACUCGCCGUGGUCAAGUUCACCAUGAGAGGGUGUGGGCCAUGUUUGAGGAUUGCCCCAGCAUUCAGUUCUAUGAGUAAUAAAUAUCCACAGGCUGUUUUCUUGGAAGUCGAUGUACAUCAGUGUCAGUACUUAUUCCUUUGAAGAUAGGAAGAUGUUAUGUUGAUGUCAUUAUUACAGAUGUCAUUAUGGCUGCAUUAGUUAAGAAGAGUAGCACAUUAUUAAUUGCUUCAGGGAACAGCUGCCACCAACAAUAUAUCAGCAACACCUACAUUUUUGUUUUUUCGAAACAAAGUGAGAAUUGAUCAAUAUCAAGGAGCAGAUGCUGUGGGAUUAGAAGAAAAAAUCAAGCAGCACUUAGAAAAUGACCCUGGAAGCAAUGAGGACACAGAUAUUCCAAAAGGCUAUAUGGAUUUAAUGCCUUUUAUUAACAAAGCUGGUUGUGAAUGUCUUAAUGAAAGUGAUGAGCAUGGAUUUGACAACUGUUUACGAAAAGACACAACCUUCUUGGAAUCUGACUGUGAUGAACAGCUGCUUAUUACUGUGGCAUUCAAUCAACCUGUUAAGCUUUAUUCCAUGAAAUUUCAAGGGCCAGAUAAUGGUCAGGGCCCUAAAUAUGUAAAAAUUUUUAUCAACCUACCCCGAUCUAUGGAUUUUGAAGAGGCAGAAAGAAGUGAACCAACUCAAGCUCUGGAACUGACAGAGGAUGAUAUUAAAGAAGAUGGCAUUGUUCCACUUCGUUAUGUUAAGUUUCAGAAUGUUAACAGUGUAACUAUAUUUGUUCAGUCGAAUCAAGGUGAAGAGGAAACAACAAGAAUUUCAUAUUUUACUUUUAUUGGUACUCCAGUCCAGGCAACAAAUAUGAAUGACUUCAAACGAGUAGUUGGCAAAAAAGGAGAAAGCCACUAAGGUACAAAAGACACUGGACAACCAUAUUGCAAUCAGAUCUACAGCUCCUGGAUAAUUGCUUGAUUCUCGCCAGAGACUGUCAAUGUUUCAUUCAUUGCCAUUACCAAUAAAUCAUUGCUUUUGUUCAGAUGGUAUCACUAGUGUUUCCAUUGUAAUCUUGACACAUGCAAUUGUAAAUAAAAGUCACCACUUUUGCCAAGCUUAAUUUUUGUCUUUCUAAAUCAGUAUUUUCUCUUUCCAUGUAUUUGAAAACUGGUUAACUUCUGAUUUUAGUAGAGACUUAAGUGUCUGGUAGUAUAUUGAUUGAAAGCCAGUUUCUUUAGAAAAGGAGAAACUGUUCUAGGGAAUUAAGAAGUACAUGUGUACACAUUCAUGGCAAGUUAUUUUGAUAAGUGAACCUGGAACAGCUAACCAUGUUAAAUUAUUACUGCAUUUUUAUUAAAGGACAUUUGUAUAUCUGAGCUAUGGAAAUUACUCAAAUUAUAAAUUAGAAGAAAUAAACAGGUUUAAUGAGAUUUAGCUACUCUUACCUAAAACUUAGCUAAUGGGUCCACAGAUUCUUUCUUGGUAUAUAUCAAGAUUUUAAUCUCUUCUGGUAAACUUUAAAAUUUGAGUCAGCCUUUUUUUUUUUUUUUUUUUUUUUAACUAAUAGAAGAAUGUGGAAAUCAGACAGUUGGGGAAAAAAUACAGCAUAGUGAAUUCAGAAAACAGGAAUUGGCCAGGUGUGGUGGCUAAUGUCUGUAAUCCCAGUACUUUGGGAGGCCAAGGCGGGCGAAUCACCAGAGGUCAGGAGUUCGAGUCCAGCUUGGCCAACAUGGUGAAACCUCGUCUCUACUAAAAAUACAAAAAUUAGCCAGGCAUGGUGGCGGGUGUCUGUAAUCCCAGCUACUUGGGAGGCUGAGACAGAAGAAUCGGCUGAACCCGGGAGGCAGAGGUUGCAGUGAGCUGAGAUUGCGCCAUUGCGCCCCAGCCUGAGCGACAAGAGCAAAACUCCGUCUCCAAAAAAAAAAGGGAAUUAUUACCCUUAAUCAAGUAUUUAUUACCUGAACUACCAAAACGUGCAGUGUAAAUAUACAGAGAACAUGAUUUAAGGUUGAAAAUGAGGUGCUCAAAUAGAAAUGUUUAAAAGGUCUUUCACAAAAGGCUGGUAAAAUACCUAUUCGUUACCUUUUUUAUCUUAAAAUUGUAAUCUAAAAAGUAUUGGUAGUUUUAAUUUUAAAAUUUCUGAGUAUUUUGAAAACUAUUUUUAAAGAGUACAUAAGACUGUAAAAUUGUGAUUCAGUUAAACAUUUGAGGGCAUUCUUGUCUAGGAAUAUGGUAGAGAUACCAUUUGCCUUUGUGAGAGCAGUGUGUUUAUACUUGUUUAUGAAAAAAUUCUACAGAAGUUUUAGUGUUGAAAGAGUCCCUUUCUGAAACCCAAGUGUCAUUAGAUAGUUUAGUUCAUUUGUAUAUGGGCACAUUAACUGGUCUGUGAUGAUCUUAACACUCCUUAAAUAGACCAUCUCAGAUUAAUCACAUCUGAAAUUAAGGAUAAGAUUAAUAUGCAGGGUUUUGGUUUACAGUUUUGUACACUUAACCUUUCUGAGUAAUUGUUAAAGUGCCUCAUCCUAAGUAUUGCUGACCUUUUCCUAUUUAUACUUGAUAGUUUGAAAACCCAGUGAAACAAAUUUCGUAUUUGUAAAGGAUUGGACAUCAGAUUUAUAUUGUCUAUGUGACUCUUCUAUAACAAUUAGUUGCAGUAUGCAAGUAUUACAUAAUUCAAAUUGUAAAUAGUGAAAAAUGAACGUUUAUAGGUAACUAUAACGUUUCACUUAAUGGGAAAUCUUACUAUUAUAAAUGUGCAUAAUUGGCAUUUAAAAUAUCAAACUGAAAUGCUGUUUUCUCCUAAAACAGUAUAUAUAUAUACACACAUAUGUAUAUGUAACAUUUAUAUAUAACACUGAAUUUUCCAGAUGAAUAAGAGCAUUUGAAAAAAUGUAACUCUAGUUAUUUUAACUGAAGUUAUUUAUUAGUGCAUCUAGAAAACUGGUAUUCAGUUUCUUGUUCAUUUUGUCGGACAUAGCAAAAAAGAAUUUCAUGAUCUCUGUAUUUUGAUACAUUGACAUCAGGUGCUUUUGAUGAGAAACAACAGUGAAAUAUCGUGUUCAUAAUAGAAACGAAAGUCAGGUAUUGCAGUAGGAAGUCUUUGUCAGCUUAAUGCUGAAGCCAAGAGUAGCACAAGGUACCACAUUCUUGUGCCCACGACAGGCUUUUAUAAUCCUUCUGAGUUCUCUUUGACAUCAAGCCCCACGUUGUUCCCCAGUCUCAAUAUUCUGUUGGAGGCAGCCACGUAACAAUUAGAGUUGAAACCUGCCCCACGUUGUUCCCCAGUCUCAAUAUACUGUUGGAGGCAGCCACGUAACAAUUAGAGUUGAAACCUGCCCCACGUUGUUCCCCAGUCUCAAUAUACUGUUGGAGGCAGCCACAUAACAAUUAGAGUUGAAACCUGCCCCACGUUGUUCCCCAGUCUCAAUAUUCUGUUGGAGGCAGCCACGUAACAAUUAGAGUUGAAACCUGCCCCACAUUGUUCCCCAGUCUCAAUAUUCUGUUGGAGGCAGCCACGUAACAAUUAGAGUUGAAACCUGCCCCACUUUGUUCCCCAGUCUCAAUAUUCUGUUGGAGGCAGCCACGUAACAAUUAGAGUUGAAACCUGCCCCACAUUGUUCCCCAGUCUCAAUAUUCUGUUGGAGGCAGCCACUUAACAAUUAGAGUUGAAACCUGUCUGCCAUCCUUUGUCUCAAUGUUUGAGGAUGUAUGCAGUGUUUUUGGCAGCGAUUAUAGGAAUGCAGUUGUUUAUUUGGCCUCAGCAGUUUAUUUAUGGCUGCAAUUAAUAUCCCUGAUCAUGGGCUUUUAAACCUAAAAUAGUUCAGAUCCUCCCUUGUUCCUCUUAAUGUCUAAAAGCUUUGAUUCUGUAAUAAGAAUAAAGUGUUGGAGUUGAAUAAAUUAGUUACACCCUUUGUAAGCUUUAAAAACAUGAAAUUUAAGGCUUACUCAUGUUGCUUGUAUUGAUACUCAUAUAGUUCAAUUUAGUAGGUUAAUUUUUGUGUUAGGUAUAUCUCUUCUGGAACUGAUAAUUUGUAAUCUUAGACUAUUUUUUUUUUAAGAUAAGUAACUUAGAGUAAGAAAUCCAGCUGGGAACAGUGGCUCAUGCCUGUAAUCCCAGCAUUUUGGGAGGCCGAGGCGGCUGGAUCACUUGAGGUCAGGAGUUUGAGACCAGCCUGGCUAACAUGGAGAAACCCUGUCUCUACUAAAAAUACAAAAAAUUAGCCAGGCAUGGUGGCAGGUGCCACACCCAGCUACUUGGGAGGCUGAGGCAGUAGAAUCGCUUGAACCCGGGAGGCGGAGGUUGCAGUGAGCCAAGAUCGCAUGACUGCACACUAGCCCGGGCAACAGAGUGAGACUGUCUCAAAAGAAAAAAAAAAAAAAUCCAUUCACAGAACUGCUAAAGAAAAACUAGAGGAAUAUUUUGCUCAUUUAGCUUUAAAACUCAUUAUUAGAGGUGUGUAUUUUACAGUUUUGUAAAUAUAGAUUAUGCUUUAUAAUACACAUAAAGCAAGUAUAUAUAACAUGCAUAUAGUAAAUAAAUUUUAAAAUAUUGACUAUUCCCCAGUUAAGCCUAUACUUCUUAAGGAAGACUACUGAUGUCAUUUUAAGCAUGUUUCAAAAUUCAAGUUUUAUUUUUGAUCAAUAAGGUUUUUUUUUUUUUUUAACAUGCUCAGCACUAUAGGAAUAAGAGGACAGUGGAGAUUUGUAGGCUAAUAAGAUCGCUUUUAAACUUUGUGGUCCAUGUAAAAUUAUUAGUUGGAGAAUGUGUAAUUAGAGAACUAUAAGAUAAAGAGAUAACCUUUAGAAUUUGAAUGUACUAAAAUUGUACACAGCUUGGAAUAUUAAAAUCUUAAGGAUAUGCAAUGUUAAAACUGCUAGAGUAUUUUUCCUUCGUGCUUGCUAUGCUUCUCUAUGGGAAGAGGAAUUUUAUUUUGGAAUUAUUUCUAAGUUGAACAGACCAGAAUUAAUUGUGAAAACAUGAUCUGUUGGUUUAUAAUUGGACACGCAUUUGGAGAUACUGGCUCAUCAUACUACCUAGGAGCAAAAUCUCUGAAGUUUGAAUCCCUGCUCUUCCACUUGUUAGCUGUGUCAUCUUGAGCAAGUAACAUCCUUCAGAGCUCAAAUUUCUUCUUGUGUAAAAAUAGGAACAUCUAUCUCUUAGACUUGUUCUGAAGAUGCGCCUUACUUUGUAUCUGGAACAAGGAUAAGUAUCUUCUGUAUCCUGCUCUCAGCUGUCACUGCUUUUUAGGCCAUCAUUACUUGCUUGGCAUACUGCAGUGCCUCCUAAUUGUCUCUUUGUUUCUGCUCUGGCCUCUCUCAUGUAUCCCCCACAUGGCCGCUGGUUCUCUUUUCUUUAUGGGGUCUUUGUAAUGUAAUCUCUCCUCCUCUAGCCUCCCCAUGCCCCUCAUUUCUCCAGUGUGCUGUGCUGUAUUACCAGGUAGCAGAACGUACCCUAAUAUCGCAUGCCUUCCUCUGACCUAACUUUUCCAUCUGACCAAUUCCUACUUAUCUACAAGGCUCAGUCCAAGGAAAACUGAUACCGGGAAUAAUCAUAACAAUUGUGCACGCCUCCUCAGCUGCUAUGACACCUUGCCAUUAUUUCAUCCGGAUACUUAUCAAGCUACUUGUAAUGAUCUGUAGUCUUAUUUGGACUACUAGAUUGUGAGCUGUAAUACAAGUAUUUUGUCUCUAGUAUUAAGCCAGUUUAUUUGGUUUCUAUCAUUAAAUACAAUGUUGAAAAAAUUCUCAGGGUCCAAGGGGAGAUGCUUGGGUUGAGUCAGAGAUAAAGUAGGAAUAUGCAGUUGAGGAAGGUAAGGAAGAUAAUUUAGCUGAAGUAAAGGAAAAGUGCAUAGUGUGUUCAUAGAGUGGGAGUUAAGUGUAAGAGACAUUCUAGGGAAGUGAAGGAGAAGCUGAAAGAGCAAGUAGAGACGGUAAGGUGAAGCUCCUCUUGCCAUGUGAAAGAGAUCAAACUUUCUCCUUAAUUUAUGGGAGGAGCGAGCAUAGAGAAGUCUGUGAUGUCUCACAAGGUUCUCACUUUUACAAUUGAAUAUAGAAGUAGCUCUUAGGAGAAGCAGAACGUUCAGAGGGGAAGAUGAAUAUGGUUUUGGGUACAUUGCCUUAAAUUGCAUUUUUGGUAUUUGGGUGGCGAUGUCUAGUAAGUAAAAAGCCAGGAAUGUGAUUUUAGAGCUUAGAGCUAGAAGCAAGGAACUAGGAGUUGUUUAGAUGAUGAAAACUGAAAUAUGUAUAUGAAUGGGAAUUUUUAGAAUAUAAAGGGAGAGAAUGAAACUAAGGAGCAAAUGUUAGGGAAUCCUAAGAAAUAUUAAAGAAUUGGGAAAAGAGGAACCUGGAAGGUAGAGUAGUAAACAGGAAAGGGAGGAAAAACAGGAGGUGGUAAUAAAGUAGUGUUAAUGAAUCCAAGAGGGAGCAGUCACCAUCUUCAAAUGUGAUAUUGAAAUUAGCUGGGAUGUCCAGUUGUUUAAUCCAUUAAAUUGUGGAAACAGUCUUUCUAGUGCUUAAUUAUAGGAAUCAUUGAUCAUAUUAAUAAACUUUCAGUUGAAGCAUCAGCAGAUAAUUAUUCCAAAACCCUCUGGCAAAGAAAUGUAGAUGCUUUUAUAGUCUACCAUUGAACACAGUUUUACAUGACACUUGGCAAAACUUGGAGAUGGAUGGCACUAUUUUGUAAGAGAAUAUGAAACACUGCUUUGAAGUUGUCAUUAAAGGAUCUUAUCAGGUG
This is an RNA transcript of Homo sapiens (human), 6945 nucleotides long. It is a transcript of the gene named thioredoxin like 1, with no coding region annotated. NCBI's taxonomy places the organism in Eukaryota, Metazoa, Chordata, Mammalia, Primates, Hominidae. The record is from RefSeq and is marked validated. The transcript has 9 exons.